RNAcentral lists this ribosomal RNA (428 nucleotides) under uncultured bacterium. RNAcentral's name for it is "partial 16S ribosomal RNA". It matches the Rfam family "Bacterial small subunit ribosomal RNA", at positions 354 to 796 of the family's 1533-position model. The record is from RNAcentral.
GUGGGGAAUAUUGGGCAAUGGGGGCAACCCUGACCCAGCAACGCCGCGUGAGGGAAGAAGGUUUUCGGAUUGUAAACCUCUGUCCUAUGGGAAGAAGGAAGUGACGGUACCAUAGGAGGAAGCCCCGGCUAACUACGUGCCAGCAGCCGCGGUAAUACGUAGGGGGCGAGCGUUGUCCGGAAUUACUGGGCGUAAAGGGUGCGCAGGUGGCCUGACAAGUCAGAUGUGAAAUACCGAUGCUUAACGUCGGGGCUGCAUUUGAAACUAUGAGGCUGGAGUGCAGGAGAGGGAAGCGGAAUUCCUAGUGUAGCGGUGAAAUGCAUAGAUAUUAGGAGGAACACCAGUGGCGAAGGCGGCUUACUGGACCAGAAUUGACGCUGAGGUGCGAAAGCGUGGGGAGCAAACAGGAUUAGAUACCCCGGUAGUCC